Long non-coding RNA from Orussus abietinus, 769 nucleotides. RefSeq lists it as uncharacterized. The transcript has 3 exons. NCBI's taxonomy places the organism in Eukaryota, Metazoa, Arthropoda, Insecta, Hymenoptera, Orussidae. The record is from RefSeq and is a predicted model, not a curated record.
GCGUCGCGCCAUCUCGCGGAGGGGAGACCAACUCACCGAUUCUUAUCCAGAGCAUGCAAUGGAUACCGUAGUUCCCUGUAAACGACGGUACAGAUCUGUACCAUGGAACCAGCGCCCUCUCUGAGAUGCAUAGCAAGGUUUAACCUCGAAGUCUCUCUGGCGUCGGGAAAAUAGGAAUCCUGCUGUUCAAAAAAUGGCCGGAAGUCAAGGUCUAAUAAGAGGGCACUAAGUGAUCAUUCGGGUCAAGGAGGCUACUGAAUUGAGUAACUAAUGGCGCUUCCCUAAAGUGCCUCCGUCCGGUGGGCUCGUCUGAAAUUUUGGAAACAUUCGGCGCCCGACGUUUCUGGCCAAUGUAACAUCGGAGGAAAAUGAAAACGAAGGAUGCGACUGUCUAGACAGCCAGAACCACGCAAUUGUCUAGACUGGACCACCACGCGUGAGAAAGGCCGGAAAAACUCCUCCAUGCCCCAAAACAUACUUAAGCUCGUUCGAACAAUCUUUCAGUACUUAAAAAAAUUGAAAACUACUGAACCACCAUUUUUACAAAUACCAACGUACUGUAAUACAAUAAUCAAUAAGUAUAACUCUAUCUUAAAAAUUGAACAUGGCGUCUGUUUGCAGUGGAUCACAGUAUGCCAAUUUAUCCAAUUCUCUCGAAUAUUAAUUUAGAUAAUGAAUCAUGAGAAGAAAUAUUUUAUUAAUACUUACUAUGUUUUGUCCACGGAUUACUGCUGCAUGUACGUCUGUGGUGGCUUUGGAAAACAUUGUU